GCAACCUAUGGGACGCAGCAGUGGGGAAUAUUGGGCAAUGGGCGCAAGCCUGACCCAGCAACGCCGCGUGAAGGAAGAAGGCUUUCGGGUUGUAAACUUCUUUUAUCAGGGACGAAGCAAGUGGCGGUACCUGAUGAAUAAGCCACGGCUAACUACGUGCCAGCAGCCGCGGUAAUACGUAGGUGGCAAGCGUUAUCCGGAUUUACUGGGUGUAAAGGGCGUGUAGGCGGGAG
This 233-nucleotide ribosomal RNA is filed under the name uncultured bacterium. RNAcentral describes it as "partial 16S ribosomal RNA". It matches the Rfam family "Bacterial small subunit ribosomal RNA", at positions 334 to 581 of the family's 1533-position model. The record is from RNAcentral.